This 254-nucleotide ribosomal RNA is filed under the name uncultured bacterium. RNAcentral describes it as "partial 16S ribosomal RNA". It matches the Rfam family "Bacterial small subunit ribosomal RNA", at positions 524 to 776 of the family's 1533-position model. The record is from RNAcentral.
UACGUAGGGUGCGAGCGUUGUCCGGAAUUAUUGGGCGUAAAGAGCUCGUAGGCGGUCUGUCGCGUCGGUCGUGAAAACUUGGGGCUUAACCCUGAGCUUGCGGUUGAUACGGGCAUGACUGGAGUUCGGCAGGGGAGACUGGAAUUCCUGGUGUAGCGGUGAAAUGCGCAGAUAUCAGGAGGAACACCGGUGGCGAAGGCGGGUCUCUGGGCCGAUACUGACGCUGAGACGCGAAAGCGUGGGGAGCGAACAGG